Molecule: long non-coding RNA, 1359 nt
Organism: Papaver somniferum (opium poppy)
Lineage: Eukaryota; Viridiplantae; Streptophyta; Magnoliopsida; Ranunculales; Papaveraceae
Exons: 7
Source: RefSeq, a predicted model, not a curated record
UUCUUCCUUUCUUCCAAAUUUGUCAAUGUUGUUUGCAUCGUUUUCUUCUUCCUCUCUUCCAAUUAUGUCACUGUCGUUCUUCUUCCUCUCUUCCAAUUAUGUCAAUGUCGUCACAAAUUUCAGAAAAAGUUUCUGAUUCCUUUAUUCAAGGUUUCGAAAUUUCACUUAAGUGUUGGUUAUGAAUCAUCCACGGUUGAUGAAGCUUUGUUAUUUGGUAAAUCUUUGGGCUCUAAAACUGUUAAUGCCAAUUUCAUUAAAGGGGGUAACUGAUUUGUAUCAACAGGCCUGCGCGAUGUUCGAUGAAAAUACUCAGUGACUGAUACAAACCUACCUUGCACAAUGACUGGCAUAUUUAUGCUUGGAAGAAAAGCUAAGAUCAGUAUAUAUGCUUGGAUUUUUGACAGGGCAUAUUAGUAAUGUCGAUAUGUUUAUGUAUUAGAAUUAGUGGGAUAUAACAAGAAAAGCUAAGAUCCAUGGAUUUUGUUUGUUGGAAUUCCUAAAGCUCUAGAGGAGUUCAAAGGUAUGGAGCUUUCAAAUUCAUUCGUAUGGCAUGUUGAAGUUUCCUUGGUUUGUGGAAGACAAUCAAACAACAAUCUUUGAGAUACACAUCCUAGCAAAGGAGUGGCUAGGGCUUAACCUGUGAUUAUGUCAGAGAAGAACGGUCGUGCAUGAGAUUUCAAAGUACCUCUGCCAAGGAUAUAUCAACUUCCAGUUGCAUUAAUUUAAGAACACGUCUUCUUGAGAAUGUGAUUAUGCAUUACCGAUAUUCACAUUCAACUUUACCCAGAUGAAUGGCCAAAUACUGUGGAGAACUUCACCACUCACUGGCAUAAUGGUCAUGAAAAUGAUAAUCUAAUCUUCCACCGGGUCAUCAAUGGCUUAAUAAUACAAAAUGUAGAUCCUCUAGGAGAAAGAACUGUUGAGCAGUCUAUUUGGGGUAGGGAUUUUAUGGAUGAGUUCCAAGAAAGCAACACCGUGGCUGGAUGAUAAGCAUGCUGUAGUCCAUAGAUGUAUCAAGGGAAUGGACGUAGUAGUACAUGUAUUUUUAUUUUUCUAUUUUUACUCUUCUCUUAGAACUCUUAUCACGUGUCUGCAAUCAUGCAUAUGAAGUCUAACUGCUGCCUACUACAUACAGGGAGAAGGUGAAGACAGACAAUGAAGACGAACCAUACCAAGAUGUUAAAUUACUGAAUGUGAAUAUUGCCAAGUUUUGUAUUUAUUCUUGAAUGGGAUUUUGUUAUAUGACCCACCGUUGCCAGUUUGUGGAUCACAGAUUCACAGUAGGCAUCUUACAGUAUUAGUUUUUACUUUUUACUAUUGCAAAAGAAUAUUGGGCUUCGAUAUCGAUGGGCCUCAAGA